This 63-nucleotide small RNA is filed under the name Octodon degus (degu). RNAcentral describes it as "TUC338 (ENSODEG00000022570.1)". Lineage: Eukaryota; Metazoa; Chordata; Mammalia; Rodentia; Octodontidae. The record is from RNAcentral.
CAGGUACAGCACAGGAAGUGACAGUGUGAGCUUUCCCCAUACCACCCCAUCCAUGUGCCUUGA